UAAGGAUUUAAGUUAAACUAAACUAAUAACCUUCAAAGUUAUAAAUAGAUAAGAUCUAAGCCUUAG
RNAcentral lists this transfer RNA (66 nucleotides) under unidentified. RNAcentral's name for it is "Strongylium pinfaense tRNA-Trp". The record is from RNAcentral.